GGGCCGGUCGUCUAGUGGCUCCCAAAGUGGAUUCAAUCCUCGAGCAUGGUUAGGACGUCGCUCUGACACGGCGAAGGUCGGCGGUUCAACUCCGCCCCGGCCCACCA
This 107-nucleotide transfer RNA is filed under the name Nitrososphaerota archaeon. RNAcentral describes it as "tRNA-Val". It matches the Rfam family "tRNA". Rfam says of the family: Transfer RNA (tRNA) molecules are approximately 80 nucleotides in length. Their secondary structure includes four short double-helical elements and three loops (D, anti-codon, and T loops). Further hydrogen bonds mediate the characteristic L-shaped molecular structure. tRNAs have two regions of fundamental functional importance: the anti-codon, which is responsible for specific mRNA codon recognition, and the 3' end, to which the tRNAs corresponding amino acid is attached (by aminoacyl-tRNA synthetases). tRNAs cope with the degeneracy of the genetic code in two manners: having more than one tRNA (with a specific anti-codon) for a particular amino acid; and 'wobble' base-pairing, i.e. permitting non-standard base-pairing at the 3rd anti-codon position. The record is from RNAcentral. Lineage: Archaea; Thermoproteati; Nitrososphaerota.